AGCUCCAAUAGCGUAUAUUAAAGCUGUUGCGGUUAAAAAGCUCGUAGUUGGAUUUCUGUCAAGGACAACUGGUCCGCCCUGUGGGUGAGCACAUAGUUUGGUCUUGGCAUCUUGCUGGAAGCUGUUGCCGCACUUGGCUGUGUGGCGCAGUGUCCAGCACUUUCACUUUGAGGAAAUUGGAGUGUUUCAAGCAGGCUCGUGCCUUUGGACACAGUAGCAUGGAAUAAGUAGAUUGGGCUUUUGCUCCAAUUUGUCGGUUUCUGGAGCUGAGGUGAGAAUUAAUGGGGAUUGUUGGGGGCAUCCGAAUUUAGCCGUCAGAGGUGAAAUUCUUGGAUCUGCUAAAGACGGACGACUGCGAAAGCGUUUGCCCAGGAUGUUUUCAUUGAUCAAGAACGAAAGU
This 400-nucleotide ribosomal RNA is filed under the name phytoplankton environmental sample. Its description in RNAcentral is "partial small subunit ribosomal RNA". It matches the Rfam family "Eukaryotic small subunit ribosomal RNA", at positions 587 to 990 of the family's 1831-position model. The record is from RNAcentral.